This 352-nucleotide ribosomal RNA is filed under the name uncultured bacterium. RNAcentral describes it as "bacterial SSU rRNA". It matches the Rfam family "Bacterial small subunit ribosomal RNA", at positions 917 to 1269 of the family's 1533-position model. The record is from RNAcentral.
GGGCCCGCACAAGCGGUGGAGUAUGUUCUUUAAUUCGAUGCACGCGAAGAACCUUACCACCCCUUGACAUACUCGGAACUUUCUAGAGAUAGAUUGGUGCCUUCGGGAACCGAGAUACAGGUGCUGCAUGGCUGUCGUCAGCUCGUGUCGUGAGAUGUUGGGUUAAGUCCCGUAACGAGCGCAACCCUUGUCCUUAUUUGCCAGCGAGUAAAGUCGGGAACUCUAACAAGACUGCCGGUGCAAACCGUGAGGAAGGUGGGGAUGACGUCAAAUCAUCACGGCCCUUACGUCCUGGGCUACACACGUGCUACAAUGGUCGGUACAGAGAGCAGCCACUACGCGAGUAGGAGCG